RNAcentral lists this ribosomal RNA (466 nucleotides) under uncultured bacterium. RNAcentral's name for it is "partial 16S ribosomal RNA". It matches the Rfam family "Bacterial small subunit ribosomal RNA", at positions 339 to 795 of the family's 1533-position model. The record is from RNAcentral.
CUACGGGGGGCAGCAGUGAGGAAUUUUGCGCAAUGGGGGGAACCCUGACGCAGCAACGCCGCGUGAGUGAUGAAGGCUUUCGGGUCGUAAAGCUCUGUCAAGUGGGAAGAACCUAUGCAGUGUUAAUAUCACUGUAUACUGACGGUACCACUGAAGGAAGCACCGGCUAACUCCGUGCCAGCAGCCGCGGUGAAUACGGGGGGUGCAAGCGUUAUUCGGAAUCAUUGGGCGUAAAGGGCACGUAGGCGGCUUGGUAAGUCAGAUGUGAAAGCCCGGGGCUUAACCCCGGAAGUGCAUUUGAUACUGUCAGGCUUGAGUAUGGGAGAGGGAAGUGGAAUUCCUGGUGUAGAGGUGAAAUACGUAGAUAUCAGGAGGAACACCGGUGGCGAAGGCGACUUCCUGGACCAAUACUGACGCUGAGGUGCGAAGGCGUGGGUAGCAAACAGGAUUAGAUACCCGCGUAGUC